Molecule: long non-coding RNA, 3168 nt
Organism: Astatotilapia calliptera (eastern happy)
Lineage: Eukaryota; Metazoa; Chordata; Actinopteri; Cichliformes; Cichlidae
Source: Ensembl
GCCAAAGGCUAAAGUCAUGAUGAUGAAAGGCAUAUUACAGUAAAAUGUAAAUGUAACUGUGCAGUCAAGGUUAGUCGAUAUUGAUGGUAAAAUCUUCACAGGCUGUUUUUUGAAAGAGGCAAGACCACGUGUCAAGGAAACAGUGCUACGCUUUUCAACAGAGGAGCUUCACCAGAUACUCUGGCAAAGGUGAUUUUCAAAGGCUAAUAGCAAUACAUGCAUACUGUAUAUACAUAUAGAUUAAAAAGAUGCACUUUAGUGUUGAAUUCACCUUUUAGACCUGGAAACUAAAUCCGUGUUUUAUAUACACUGUUUGUGAAUUAGCUUUAGCAUUGCAGUCGACAUGUGCAUGUGCUGGGGGAGCCAAUUAGAGGAAGACAACUUUGUGUGCAGCUACCAUCAGCUAUUUGGGCAGCAUGUUCACUCGCCUCAUACUUGAUGGUAUAGGCUCAGUAUUACAGCAUUUUGUUGGUGGAACUGAUGUCCACCAAAAAAAAAAAAAAAAAAGACAAACAUGAUCACAAAUUACUGCAGAUCUUGAUAUUUAUCUUCUGUUUGCAUAAAUGAGCAACUAUUUGCUGUAUAGACUUCAUAUGUCAGUGUUGUGCUCACAGGUUGUGUCUGCUGCCCCCAAGAAAAAAAAGAAAAGAAUUUGUACCAGUUUAUGCUGUGCGAGGUGUGGUGGAAGAUUGAUGACCUAAAUACAGGAUGCAGUAGAUGACAGUUAUUAAUUCCGGUUCUUUUGGAUUCUUCAGGGCCAAGGAAACACGGCUCAAAGUGGUUUUUUACUUUAAAAAUGAUCUUUAUUUUACAUAUCUGGGAUAUGGAGACAUGAACACAAAACACACAACCCCAGGUCUGAAGCACAAACGGAAGCCUAGUUAUUUAUAUGUAAAGCUAAGUGUUGAUUUAUUAAGAAAAGAACAAGUACAGGUGGUAGAGAAACAGGUAACAACAAAUCUAUAAAGCAUGGGAAGCACGGGGAAAACCAAUGGAUACAGCAAUGCUAGUGGGACGACUUGAUAAUGGGCGAGGGGAAACAAAGACAAUAAACACACAAGGAUAUGGGAAACAGUAGGGGAAGACAGCUGAACCUAAUCACACAAAAAAUCAAAAAUGAACACAGGACACACUGGAUGCAGCUUACCAAAAUAAAACAGGAAAUAACCAAACGUGGGGACCAUCACUGGUGGAAACUUUACACAAAGGUAGGAAACCCUAAAUAUAAUAUUUAAAAAAAACAAGGACCAAGGAGAGAACUAAUACACAUGGGAAAAAAGACACAUCAAUAUUUACCCAAAGAAAUACCAAGAAUCACAAAGUCCAAAAGCCCCUCAAAGUCCCUGGGUAAUAAAACCCAGAACCAAUAACAGUUUGCUUGUUUGUAAUUAAAAAAAAGAAAACAAAAAAAAUAAUGAAAGCAGCAACAGUAACGGUGGCUGUCUGAAUGUAUUCCCUGUUUUCUGAAGCGACAGAGUAAGAAAGAAAAUUCAGUGUGACUGCAGACAGCAUGCCAGUGCUGCCCAACCUAUGGUGAGAUGUGUUUUCAUAAGACUCAUCUUGCACUUAUGCACCCAUCGCAGCCAUCACAACAACAGGAGCGAUCACCAGAGUGCAAAAUAUCCACAGAGCAACACAUACCUCUCAGAAAGUGCUUUGCAGCCGCUUUCUACAAAUUGCCUUCAAGAACCCAACAGGGAUAAAUUAAGCAGACAAAUUGGCACCAUAUGCAGCCUGAAGGUGCCGUGCUAUUGGAUCAUUUCUAGUGCCUGUUGAUAAGUUGAAUUACAUCCAAGAAGCACUUUAUCUUCCCUAAUGCACCUUUAUUUUGAAAUGGGCCCCAGAUUUGAUAGUAAUGAAUGAUCUGCGUCUUGAAAUUGUAAAUCCAAAUGGUUGAUGAUGUUGCCAUGAUCAGCAUAAAUGCUGUAUCAGCAUUCUGUCUUUGUGGUUUCAUCUCUCUCACAGUUGAGAAUCUUUUUGGCUCCCCUGGUGCCGUUGUACGCUCCAAAAUGGAAGUGUCAUCCCAUUGAACGUGUAACACAGGAAGCCUCAAACAGAAUACAUCACUCCACACCGUUGCUGCUUUAUUGUCUCGCUGUUGAAUCAGCCAUCUCUUGUCUUUCUGCUGUGUUUCUGUUUGGUCUUCAUUGUCAAACUCUCAGCAGCAAGACAACCAGGGAAAUCUGGUUGAUUGGCUUAAUAACUCAUUUUGUUGAAACAUUUUCUUCUCAUUUUGCUUCAGCAACUUGGCAAAGAGUGUCUCUUCACCACAUCUUUUUCAACAGUGAAAAAAAAAACCUUUAUGUUUUUGAACGUAAACAUACGUAACACACAGUUUUAGACUAUAAAAGAAAUCGGCAACAAAAAACUGUUAAAAAACUGUACGCUUAACUACAGGUAUUUAAAAUUAUGCAGUCUCAUUCAAUCACAAUAAUGAAUGACAACUUAGGAAGUGCAUAGUACUUGUACUUGUUCUUACAUGUGAAAAAUCACAUGGAAAUGUCAUCGUAUACACGCAAGUUACACACUUGAAUUCUUAUUUUAGCGCAUUUUAUGAUAAAUAUGCUAAGAAAAUGUGAGUGGUCUAAAUUAGUAGACAUUCGUACACAAUAUUGAGAUUUUGUGCGACUCAGAUACAUUUUUGUCACAUUCUUGUGCCCCGAACACCACACACUUACAGGAACACAGAUUUAAUUAACAUUUUAAUAUCCCUGAACACAAACAUUGACCAGGCGUCAUUGAUCACAGCACUGCUAAUUUAAGGAACUGAGGUUAAACAUUAGAUACUUGCAUUGCACACUUAUUCUGCCCUCAGAAAAAUUAAGCACAUAAUAGCAAUAAUAAAUAUGCACACAUCAACACAAAGGCAGAUAAAACAGAUAACUCAAUGUAAGCAAAAGUCCUUCUAUAAACUACUGUACAUGAUUAAUUAAGGCAAACUAAUUAAAAUUGAGUAGGGACGUGUUUGCUUUUGCAGUGGGUUCUGCAGGAAACCCUUUCUCUGUCUCAGUGCAAUCUGUGUCUUCAUCUUCUUCUUCUUCUUCUUCUUUGUAAUUAUUACACAUUACUCGUUACUUUUCUCAAAUGUAAUGCAAUACUUACUUGUCAGAGAAAGUGAUUCAUAAUUUGUGCCAAUGAAUGUUUGGGGUUUUUGUACGUCAUAACAGA